RNAcentral lists this ribosomal RNA (468 nucleotides) under uncultured bacterium. RNAcentral describes it as "bacterial SSU rRNA". It matches the Rfam family "Bacterial small subunit ribosomal RNA", at positions 26 to 518 of the family's 1533-position model. The record is from RNAcentral.
AGGACGAACGCUGGCGGCGUGCUUAACACAUGCAAGUCGAACGGGAGUAUUGAAGAAGCUUGCUUUAGAGAUACUUAGUGGCGGACGGGUGAGUAACGCGUGAGGAGCUGUCCUAUGCAGGGGGACAACAGCUGGAAACGGCUGCUAAUACCCCAUAAGCCGAGAGGUAAAAGGAUCAAUCCGGCAGAGGAGGUACUCGCGUCCUAUCAGCUAGUAGGUGAGGUAACGGCUCACCUAGGCGAAGACGGGUAGCCGGCCUGAGAGGGCGAACGGCCACACUGGAACUGAGAUACGGUCCAGACUCCUACGGGAGGCAGCAGUGGGGAAUAUUGGGCAAUGGGGGAAACCCUGACCCAGCGACGCCGCGUGGGUGAAGAAAUCCUUCGGGAUGUAAAGCCCUGUUGUAUGGGAAGAGCGGAAGACGGUACCAUACGAGGAAGCCCCGGCAAACUACGUGCCAGCAGCCGC